CGGCACGCUUAACACAUGCAAGUCGAACGGAGAAUUUUGGAUUUAUUCAGAAUUCUUAGUGGCGGACGGGUGAGUAACACGUGAGCAACCUGCCUUUGAGAGAGGGAUAGCUUCGGGAAACUGAUGGUAAUACCUCAUAAUGUAUAUUUGCCGCAUGACAGAUAUACCAAAGAUUUAUCACUCAAAGAUGGGCUCGCGUCUGAUUAGCUAGUUGGUGAGGUAACGGCCCACCAAGGCGACGAUCAGUAGCCGGACUGAGAGGUUGAACGGCCACAUUGGGACUGAGAAACGGUCCAGACUCCUACGGGAGGCAGCAGUGGGGAAUAUUGGGCAAUGGGCGAAAGCCUGACCCGGCAACGCCGCGUGAGGGAAGAAGAGUUUCGGCUCGUAAACCUCUGUCCUAUGGGACGGAGGAAGUGACGGUACCAUAGGAGGAAGCCCCGGCUAACUACGUGCCAGCAGCCGCGGUAAUACGUAGGGGGCGAGCGUUGUCCGGAAUGAUUGGGCGUAAAGGGCGCGUAGGCGGCCCGUUAAGUCUGGAGUGAAAGUCCUGCUUUCAAGGUGGGAAUUGCUUUGGAUACUGAUGGGCUCGAGUGCAGGAGAGGAAAGCGGAAUUACCGGUGUAGCGGUGAAAUGCGUAGAGAUCGGUAGGAACACCAGUGGCGAAGGCGGCUUUCUGGACUGAAACUGACGCUGAGGCGCGAAAGCGUGGGGAGCAAACAGGAUUAGAUACCCUGGUAGUCCACGCUGUAAACGAUGAAUACUAGGGGGGGGGGGGCUGCGCCCUUUCCGUGCCGCCAGUAACACAAUAAGUAUUCCCCCUGGGGGAGUACGACCGCAAGGUUUGAAAUUCAAAGGGAAUUGACGGGGGCCCGCCCAAGCAGUGGAUUAUGUGGUUAAUUCGACGCAACGCGAAGAACCUUACCAGGAUUUGACAUCCAACUAACGAAGUAGAGAUACAUUAGGUGCCCUUCGGGGAAAGUUGAGACAGGUGGUGCAUGGUUGUCGUCAGCUCGUGUCGUGAGAUGUUGGGUUAAGUCCCGCAACGAGCGCAACCCCUAUUGUUAGUUGCUACGCAAGAGCACUCUAGCGAGACUGCCGUUGACAAAACGGAGGAAGGCGGGGACGACGUCAAAUCAUCAUGCCCCUUAUGUCCUGGGCUACACACGUAACACAAUGGCCGUCAACAAAGGGAAGCAAAGCCGCGAGGUGGAGCAAAUCCCCAAAAACGGUCUCAGUUCGGAUUGCAGGCUGCAACUCGCCUGCAUGAAGCUGGAAUUGCUAGUAAUCGUGGAUCAGCAAGCCACGGUGAAUACGUUCCCGGGCCUUGCACUAAGCGCCCGUCA
RNAcentral lists this ribosomal RNA (1346 nucleotides) under uncultured bacterium. RNAcentral's name for it is "bacterial SSU rRNA". It matches the Rfam family "Bacterial small subunit ribosomal RNA", at positions 40 to 1399 of the family's 1533-position model. The record is from RNAcentral.